UUACCACUUGAGCAGCUCGUAGCCAGACU
RNAcentral lists this non-coding RNA (29 nucleotides) under Rattus norvegicus (Norway rat). Lineage: Eukaryota; Metazoa; Chordata; Mammalia; Rodentia; Muridae. The record is from RNAcentral.